RNAcentral lists this unclassified non-coding RNA (306 nucleotides) under plant metagenome. RNAcentral's name for it is "partial contains 5.8S ribosomal RNA, internal transcribed spacer 2, and large subunit ribosomal RNA". The stretch from base 1 to 105 matches the Rfam family "5.8S ribosomal RNA", at positions 50 to 154 of the family's 154-position model. The record is from RNAcentral.
GAAAUGCGAUAAGUAGUGUGAAUUGCAGAAUUCAGUGAAUCAUCGAAUCUUUGAACGCACACUGCGCCCCUCGGUAUUCCGUGGGGCAUGCCUGUUCGAGCGUCAUCUACACCCUCAAGCUCUGCUUGGUGUUGGGCGUCUGUCCCGCCUCCGCGCGCGGACUCGCCCCAAAUGCAUUGGCAGCGGUUCCUUGCCCCCCUCUUUGCGCAGCACAUUGCCAUUCGAGGCGGCGGCGGCCCGCGUCCAACAAGCUCAACCCCCCCGUCUUUGCCUCGGAUCAGGUAGGGAUACCCGCUGAACUUAAGC